AGUAGAGAAGGAAUUGAACCAACAUUAAAAAAUUCAAAAUUUUAUGUAUUUCUAUUAUACUACCCACUA
RNAcentral lists this transfer RNA (69 nucleotides) under Brookesia brygooi. RNAcentral describes it as "tRNA-Gln". Lineage: Eukaryota; Metazoa; Chordata; Lepidosauria; Squamata; Chamaeleonidae. The record is from RNAcentral.